Molecule: ribosomal RNA, 274 nt
Filed under: uncultured bacterium
Lineage: Bacteria
Description: partial 16S ribosomal RNA
Rfam family: Bacterial small subunit ribosomal RNA
Source: RNAcentral
AUACGAAGGGGGCAAGCGUUGUUCGGAAUUACUGGGCGUAAAGCGCGCGUAGGCGGCUUAUUAAGUCAGAUGUGAAAUCCCCGGGCUCAACCUGGGAACUGCAUCUGAUACUGGUAGGCUAGAGUUUGGGAGAGGGAAGUAGAAUUUCAGGUGUAGCGGUGAAAUGCAUAGAGAUCUGAAGGAAUACCAGUGGCGAAGGCGACUUCCUGGCCUAAAACUGACGCUGCGGUGCGAAAGCGUGGGUAGCAAACGGGAUUAGAUACCCCAGUAGUCC